Molecule: ribosomal RNA, 253 nt
Filed under: uncultured bacterium
Lineage: Bacteria
Description: partial 16S ribosomal RNA
Rfam family: Bacterial small subunit ribosomal RNA
Source: RNAcentral
GACGGAGGAUGCAAGUGUUAUCCGGAAUCACUGGGCGUAAAGCGUCUGUAGGUGGUUUAAUAAGUCAACUGUUAAAUCUUGAGGCUCAACCUCAAAAUCGCAGUCGAAACUAUUAGGCUAGAGUAUAGUAGGGGUAAAGGGAAUUUCCAGUGGAGCGGUGAAAUGCGUAGAGAUUGGAAAGAACACCGAUGGCGAAGGCACUUUACUGGGCUAUUACUAACACUCAGAGGCGAAAGCUAGGGUAGCAAAUGGG